Molecule: unclassified non-coding RNA, 345 nt
Filed under: soil metagenome
Description: partial contains 5.8S ribosomal RNA, internal transcribed spacer 2, and large subunit ribosomal RNA
Rfam family: 5.8S ribosomal RNA (bases 1-119)
Source: RNAcentral
GAUGAAGAACGUAGCGAAAUGCGAUACGUAAUGUGAAUAGCAAAUUCAGUGAAUCAUCGAGUCUUUGAACGCACAUUGCGCCCCCUGGUAUUCCGGGGGGCAUGCCUGUCCGAGCGUCAUUGCUGCCCUCAAGCACGGCUUGUGUGUUGGGCCCCGUCCUCCGAUCCCGGGGGACGGGCCCGAAAGGCAGCGGCGGCACCGCGUCCGGUCCUCGAGCGUAUGGGGCUUUGUCACCCGCUCUGUAGGCCCGGCCGGCGCUUGCCGAUCAACCCAAAUUUUUAUCCAGGUUGACCUCGGAUCAGGUAGGGAUACCCGCUGAACUUAAGCAUAUCAAUAAGCGGAGGA